Molecule: ribosomal RNA, 447 nt
Filed under: uncultured bacterium
Lineage: Bacteria
Description: bacterial SSU rRNA
Rfam family: Bacterial small subunit ribosomal RNA
Source: RNAcentral
UGCCAGACUCCUACGGGAGGCAGCAGUGGGGAAUUUUGCGCGAUGGGGGAAACCCUGACGCAGCAACGCCGCGUGCGGGAUGACGGCCUUCGGGUUGUAAACCGCUUUCAGUAGGGAAGAACAUCGACGGUACCUACAGAAGAAGCCCCGGCUAACUACGUGCCAGCAGCCGCGGUAAUACGUAGGGGGCAAGCGUUAUCCGGAUUCAUUGGGCGUAAAGCGCGCGUAGGCGGUUGCCUAAGCGGGACCUCUAAUCUUAGGGCUCAACCUUAAGCCGGGUCCCGAACUGGGUGACUUGAGGGCGGUAGAGGAAAGUGGAAUUCCCGGUGUAGCGGUGGAAUGCGCAGAUAUCGGGAAGAACACCGAGGGCGAAGGCAGCUUUCUGGGCCGCCACUGACGCUGAGGCGCGAAAGCUAGGGGAGCAAACAGGAUUAGAUACCCCCGUAC